RNAcentral lists this ribosomal RNA (316 nucleotides) under uncultured Metabolomonas. Its description in RNAcentral is "SSU rRNA". The stretch from base 104 to 316 matches the Rfam family "Eukaryotic small subunit ribosomal RNA", at positions 741 to 955 of the family's 1831-position model. Lineage: Eukaryota; Cercozoa; Cercomonadida. The record is from RNAcentral.
GACUUCUGGUUUAAUGCACCUGGCCCGCGGCCCACAAGGCCUGUGAGUGCCGGCGCGCGUUUACCAUCCUUCCAGCAACGGCUACCCUUAACUGGGCGGCUGGAACUGGAUCUUUUACUUUGAAAAAAUUAGAGUGUUUAAAGCAGGCGUUUGCUCUGAAUACAUUAGCAUGGAAUAAUAAUCUAGGACUUCGGUUCUAUUUUGUUGGUUUCGAGAACUGAAGUAAUGAUUGAGAGGGAUAGUUGGGGGUGCUAGUAUUGGCCGGUCAGAGGUGAAAUUCUUGGAUUCGGUCAAGACUAACUUAUGCGAAAGCAUU